Long non-coding RNA from Sus scrofa (pig), 704 nucleotides. RefSeq lists it as uncharacterized. The record is from RefSeq and is a predicted model, not a curated record. Lineage: Eukaryota; Metazoa; Chordata; Mammalia; Artiodactyla; Suidae.
GACACAGCCUGUGCGAGGAAAGAGGUUUGCCCAAGGAGAGGAAGAGUGAAAAGAAACAGAAGCCAUUGCUUCCAGUCGGGGGAAGAGUUUGAGCCCAGAGCUGACUGCUGGGUGGAAGACGGGGACGAGGUGUGCGCAGGACAACCCAUUACGGAGAAGAGUCUAGAAGUGGAUUUCUGUUCCCCAGGGCACCAGAAGUCCACAGUGCUAGGGCACCAAGGAGGGUGAGGACCAAGAAGGGACCAAGAGGUGGUGUAAACUCCUUUCUCCAGGAGUUCAGAGCCAAAGAAGGGGAAAGAAAUGACCAUCUCCGACCCCACAGGGACCUCGAGCCCAGAACAGGCACAUGGUUCAUCGGGAGACACAGUAACAGGAGAGGAAGAGCCCAUCUGUCCUUGUUCCCAGCAGCCUGCAUCUGGGAGGCGCCCUGCCCCUCAAAGCCCCGGUCGCCAGCCUCCCCCCUUGCACCAAGAGAGCCAUGCAACCUGGCAUCCAGUAGUAUGGAGAAAGGAAAUCCUUCGAUUUCAAGAAUGGAUUUCUUUUCUUUGCCUAAGUGACCCUGACAAGCUCGAAUGAGACCAAACUUGGCUUCCCCAGGCGAUAACGCAGUCAAAACCAAUCAGAGGCGGCACGGUGGUUCCAGCCAGACUGUCCCAGGAGGACAGCAUGCUCUGGAAAUCUAUCUUGGCAUUUACGUAGAGAUG